CAAAACAUCUUUUCUCGUUAGUUUUUGAAGUAUGGCCUGCCCGCUGACUUUGGUGUUGAAGGGCCGCGGUAUUUUGACCGUGCAAAGGUAGCAUAGUCAUUAGUUCUUUAAUUGUGAUCUGGUAUGAAUGGCUUGACGAGGCAUGGGCUGUCUUAAUUUUGAAUUGUUUAUUGAAUUUGGUCUUUGAGUUAAAAUUCUUAGAUGUUUUUAUGGGACGAGAAGACCCUAUAGAGUUUAACAUUUAUUACGGUUCUUUUCUGUUUGUGAGGGUUCGCUGGGCCGUUUAGUAUGUUUCGUUGGGGUGAUGGGAGGGAUUUAUUUAACCCCUCCUUUGUGUUGUUAUAUUUAUUUAUAUUUAUUUGAUCCAUUUAUUUUGAUUGUAAGAUUAAAUUACCUUAGGGAUAACAGCGUUAUCCCCCUUGAGAGUUCUUAUCGGCAGGGGGGUUUGCGACCUCGAUGUUGGAUUAAGGUUUAUUUUCGGUGUAGGGGCUGGAAGUUUUAGGUCUGUUCGACCUUUGAAAUCUUACGUGAUCUGA
This 536-nucleotide ribosomal RNA is filed under the name Reticulitermes lucifugus corsicus. Its description in RNAcentral is "partial large subunit ribosomal RNA". It matches the Rfam family "Bacterial large subunit ribosomal RNA", at positions 1809 to 2608 of the family's 2925-position model. Lineage: Eukaryota; Metazoa; Arthropoda; Insecta; Blattodea; Rhinotermitidae. The record is from RNAcentral.